Molecule: ribosomal RNA, 876 nt
Filed under: Pseudocercospora gracilis
Lineage: Eukaryota; Fungi; Ascomycota; Dothideomycetes; Mycosphaerellales; Mycosphaerellaceae
Description: partial 28S ribosomal RNA
Rfam family: Eukaryotic large subunit ribosomal RNA
Source: RNAcentral
GGAAGGAAAAGAAACCAACAGGGAUUGCCCUAGUAACGGCGAGUGAAGCGGCAACAGCUCAAAUUUGAAAUCUGGCGCAAGCCCGAGUUGUAAUUUGUAGAGGAUGCUUCUGGGUAGCGGCCGGUCUAAGUUCCUUGGAACAGGACGUCAUAGAGGGUGAGAAUCCCGUAUGUGACUGGCUUGCACCCUCCACGUAGCUCCUUCGACGAGUCGAGUUGUUUGGGAAUGCAGCUCUAAAUGGGAGGUAAAUUUCUUCUAAAGCUAAAUACCGGCCAGAGACCGAUAGCGCACAAGUAGAGUGAUCGAAAGAUGAAAAGCACUUUGGAAAGAGAGUUAAAAAGCACGUGAAAUUGUUGAAAGGGAAGCGCCCGCAACCAGACUUUGCGGCAGUGUUCGGCCGGUCUUCUGACCGGUUUACUCGCUGUCGUGAGGCCAUCAUCGUCUGGGACCGCUGGAUAAGACCUUAGGAAUGUAGCUCCCCUCGGGGAGUGUUAUAGCCUCUGGUGAUGCAGCGCGUCUCGGGCGAGGUCCGCGCUUCGGCAAGGAUGAUGGCGUAAUGGUUGUCGGCGGCCCGUCUUGAAACACGGACCAAGGAGUCUAACAUCUAUGCGAGUGUUCGGGUGUCAAACCCCUACGCGUAAUGAAAGUGAACGGAGGUGGGAACUUUUUGUGCACCAUCGACCGAUCCUGAUGUCCUCGGAUGGAUUUGAGUAAGAGCAUAGCUGUUGGGACCCGAAAGAUGGUGAACUAUGCCUGAAUAGGGUGAAGCCAGAGGAAACUCUGGUGGAGGCUCGCAGCGGUUCUGACGUGCAAAUCGAUCGUCAAAUUUGGGUAUAGGGGCGAAAGACUAAUCGAACCAUCUAGUAGCUGGUCUGC